Molecule: long non-coding RNA, 2347 nt
Filed under: Limulus polyphemus (Atlantic horseshoe crab)
Lineage: Eukaryota; Metazoa; Arthropoda; Merostomata; Xiphosura; Limulidae
Description: uncharacterized LOC111086796
Source: RNAcentral
AACUUAAUGUGACACAAGGUAACUUUCUCUUCAUGGUUAACUUUCUCUUCUUGCUUCCUGUUCAACUUGAUGACAACUUAAUGUGACACAAGGUAACUUUCUCUACAUGCUUCCUGUUCAACUUGAUGACAACUUAAUGUGACACAAGGUAACUUUCUCUACAUGCUUCCUGUUCAACUUGAUGACAACUUAAUGUGACACAAGCUAACUUUCUCUUCAUGUUUCCUGUUCAACUUGAUGACAACUUAAUGUGACACAAGCUAACUUUCUCUUCAUGUUUCCUGUUCAACUUGAUGACAACUUAAUGUGACACAAGCUAACUUUCUCUUCAUGUUUCCUGUUCAACUUGAUGACAACUUAAUGUAACACAAGGUAACUUUCUCUACGUGCUUCCUGUUCAACUUGAUGAUAACUUAAUGUGACACAAGCUUAACUUUCUCUUCGUGUUUCCUGUUCAACUUGAUGACAACUUAAUGUACGUCUUUUUGAGUUAAGAUUUUCUGUCUUCCCUCUCGUGGUUUGAAUCCUUCUAUCGGUAUGUAUAGGGGAUUAAGGAUUUAUGAAACUUUUGUAUAUUUACAUGGAGUUAUUUUAACUUUUAAUACUUAAAAAAUGAGAAUAAUAUUUUUUAACGUAUGAAUUUAUAUCGUGAUAUGAUAUUAUAAGAAAUUUAUUUGACUUUAUUAUGUGUAGUAAACUAUUCACCAAUAUAUAUGUCGAACAAAACGCUUAACUAUAAACAGCUCGAGUUGACAACAUGAACUAAUCAAGUCAAGAGGACCUGGUUAAAGUAAAAAAAUACCGUGUAAUGAUGGCAAGUUAGGUAAGAAUCAUCAGCCAUAAUAAAUACAACCAAAGCCUAGUGUUACUUAUUACAGUCAGAAUCAAAUUUUGAACGACACAUCAAAACUGAAACCUACUAGAUAGAAUACAACACAUGACUUUAGUGUUAAGCAUCUGCGUCACAAUACCUACAGCUUAGAUAUAUAUAUUGCUGUCUAGGUUUUAGGGUAGUUUAGAAUAGAUAAGUAUAUGGAGAUGAAUAAAUAGAUAGUCGGUGGAUUUUUUUAGUAUUACUAGCCAUAAAACAAUCCGGCCUGUGACUAAUGUGAGCGCGCAGCUUUUAUGAUCCGGUUGCUCAAGAAGUAUAUCCAAGAAAGUCCGUUAAUAAUCUUUGUAGAAUUCUAGUCAUUAGAUAAUCGUAACGUUCCGGACGUGAAUGUAUAGACGAGCUUUAGUUUUUUGUCCAGCUACGUUCUGUCUAUUUAUUUUUAAUUCACUCGGAGAGAGAGAUAAUACUGUGAUUGGAUUUUAUGAGAAAUGUAUUGAUUUAUUAUUUUAUACUUCGUAAAAUAAUGUUUCUUAUUCGAAAAAAACGUUUAUGUUUUACUAAACCUAACCAUGUAGAAUGGUUGAAAUUGUUUUAACAUUCCAUCUCUGAUCGAAACCUAAAUCUAAUGUGUUAAUCAUUAUGUUACUUUCACCCUUGAUUUAGGUAUUUUUAAUGCUUAGGAGCUAUUAGUGUAUGUAUGUACAUAUAAUGUUCUUUAAACAUUCCAUAUUGUUUUCAUUCCAAAAGAUUUUAUAUACGUCUACAAUCAGUUUGGGUGUGAUUUUUUUUUGUAUUGUAAUUAUAUAUAAAACAUUUCAUGUAGCGCCAUCUUUGGGUAAGUUUAAGCAUGCUAUUUUAUAUUUGAAUUAUUAAGAGAUUCAUCAUUACAUUUUUGUAAUAAUGAUAGUUUUAUAGUUCCUGUCAUUGAAAGUUCGGUUGUUAAAUGUAUACCUUUUAUUACACUUGUGUAUUCCACAACACUUAUUACGUUAGAUAUUAUUAUAAUAAUAAAAGGCUGAUGGUAAAAUGUUUACAAAACGUUGAUUGUACGAUGUACUACUGUUGAAGUUUUCCUUUUAACCGCCUACGUUAAAGGUCCCAGAGGCUUCUGGUGCCAUACAUUUUAUUUUUUAAUCAACUUAUGCACAUUAUAAGUUAUUUCUGUUUUGGGUUAUCACACUCACCUUUGUGUUGUAAACUAAUUAAUCAUUUUUCGUGUUCAAACUAUUUUAGUGUGUUUUUUGUAUAUGCCAACUGAAGCUCUUUUUCUUUGCCAGAUAUUAAACUGUCUUAAGGCAUCGUGUAAUAAAAAUGUUAAUGUUGAAUCCCUUAUAGCUAAUGAUUUGAUCAGUUUCUCAAUUAAAAUUACACCUUUUUCCAAGAAGAAAUCGUGUAGCUGAGAGUUUCCACUGUUGCCAAAUCGUCCUUCCAUCCACUUCUUAAGUGAAACAUAACAGUUUUCUUUCCUUGUAUUAAAAUCCUUGAAGAGCCAUUAAAGCUUCUGUUUAAUGUUCA